Molecule: long non-coding RNA, 684 nt
Filed under: Erythranthe guttata (spotted monkey flower)
Lineage: Eukaryota; Viridiplantae; Streptophyta; Magnoliopsida; Lamiales; Phrymaceae
Description: long non-coding RNA (EGUT_LNC002609)
Source: RNAcentral
UGCCUCGUCAUCAUGGCCAAUUUGCCAGGUAAUUUGUUUAUAUUUUAUGCUUUAAUUUAUUGUUGAUCCCAUGUUUAUAUAUGUUCAUAAACAAAUUUGUUUGUUUCUUAUCUAUUAAUAUGAUUUUUUUUUAUAUAGCUAUCUAGAAAAUUCGAUAGUAGGUAUUAUUAUAGUUCGAAUCCGAUUAUCAACGGUUGUUUUAGGUUAAAAUUGUCACAUAUGGUUAGCAUAGUCUGAUUUACACGUCUCUCGUAUGGUUUACAAGCUAUUAUACGAGAUUGUAGGUUUAUCCAGUGCAUCUAUAUAGUUGACUGCAUGUCACUUCUCUAAAAAAAAAAGUUGAAAAUUAAAACAUUCAUAAUUUUGAAAUCCAAUUUUUUAUGCGAUAAUAUAAAUAAUGAUUUUUUACCAUUUGAAAAUGAAUAAAUAUUAUAUAUAAUGAAUAUCUAUUUUAACAUAUAAUAUAUAUAUAUAUAUAUUUUUUUUUUUUGGUUUUAGGUAUGAAUUCACAACCAGGAUGCACAAAGCCACUGCAGAUGCCAAAUUGUGAAUCCAGUAAAUGCUCAGAUUUAUGUCUGGAAAAAUUUGGUCCUAACAUAUAUUAUUUUGUUUGUGGCUGUUCUGCUUCUGUUAAAGAUACUUGUCUUUGUAAAAUGCCCUGCAAAUAAUAAUAUAUAUAUCGGU